GACAGCGUGGCCUAACGGAUAAGGCGUCAGACUUCGGAUCCGAAGGUUGCAGGUUCGAUUCCUGUCGCGGUCA
This 73-nucleotide transfer RNA is filed under the name Penaeus japonicus. RNAcentral describes it as "tRNA-Arg". It matches the Rfam family "tRNA". From Rfam's summary of the family: Transfer RNA (tRNA) molecules are approximately 80 nucleotides in length. Their secondary structure includes four short double-helical elements and three loops (D, anti-codon, and T loops). The record is from RNAcentral. Lineage: Eukaryota; Metazoa; Arthropoda; Malacostraca; Decapoda; Penaeidae.